GAUGAACGCUGGCGGCGUGCCUAAUACAUGCAAGUCGAGCGAACAGAUAAGGAGCUUGCUCCUUUGACGUUAGCGGCGGACGGGUGAGUAACACGUGGGUAACCUACCUAUAAGACUGGGAUAACUUCGGGAAACCGGAGCUAAUACCGGAUAACAUUUGGAACCGCAUGGUUCUAAAGUGAAAGAUGGUUUUGCUAUCACUUAUAGAUGGACCCGCGCCGUAUUAGCUAGUUGGUAAGGUAACGGCUUACCAAGGCAACGAUACGUAGCCGACCUGAGAGGGUGAUCGGACACACUGGAACUGAGACACGGUCCAGACUCCUACGGGAGGCAGCAGUAGGGAAUCUUCCGCAAUGGGCGAAAGCCUGACGGAGCAACGCCGCGUGAGUGAUGAAGGGUUUCGGCUCGUAAAACUCUGUUAUUAGGGAAGAACAAAUGUGUAAGUAACUGUGCACGUCUUGACGGUACCUAAUCAGAAAGCCACGGCUAACUACGUG
This 497-nucleotide ribosomal RNA is filed under the name uncultured bacterium. Its description in RNAcentral is "partial 16S ribosomal RNA". It matches the Rfam family "Bacterial small subunit ribosomal RNA", at positions 28 to 507 of the family's 1533-position model. The record is from RNAcentral.